AGCAGCCCUCAAUCUGCAGGCUGUUGAAGCUGGAUCAUUAUGCUGGGUCCCCCAUUCUGUGAUAUCAACCCAUCCGACACAGGCUAGCCUCCGACUUCACGAAGAAUCGGAAACUGUAUGAUCCAUUAGGCUUUGUCUGGUGUCUCGAUCAUCUUUCAAACACUGGGGCCCCGUGACUGGAAGAGCAUGGGAGGGAAGGGUGGGACCCUUCCCCUCAACUUCAGCUGUGUGAUUGAGGGCAAGCCGGGGCUCGGGAAGCCUUUUUGGUUUGGAGAUGACUAAUCUGGCUCUGGCCUGAGAAUAAUUCCAGUCUGGCUGGCUGGACGGCCCGUUUCCAUGGUGACGGUUGUUAUUGGUAACUGAAUAAGCAUCUCAGAGAACAGCUCUGGAGUUGAUGGCUUUCCCUUCCAGUUGGAGUUGAGAGGAGCCAGGCUUGGGCUGAGAUCCUCAGCGUGGACUCACUGCUGCAGUGUGAGCUUUCCGGAGCUGUUCUUUUAAGGGCCAAUUAAACGCCUGGAAUAUUCGUACAUGCUGAUCCCACCGCUAAGCGAUUGCCCAUGAAUCCUCGUCACGAGUCCUUCGAAGCGGAUUUCAAAAUACAUGCCAGGACCGACAGCCAGAAUUUUAAGAUCCAUCACUGCACGACUAACAAGCCGUAUUCUCUCCAAGAUUACAAAUAAAAGGCAUAAGCAGC
Long non-coding RNA from Rattus norvegicus (Norway rat), 694 nucleotides. RefSeq lists it as uncharacterized. The record is from RefSeq and is a predicted model, not a curated record. NCBI's taxonomy places the organism in Eukaryota, Metazoa, Chordata, Mammalia, Rodentia, Muridae.